GUCUACGGCCACACCACCCUGAACGCGCCCGAUCUCGUCCGAUCUCCGAAGCUAAGCAGGGCCUGAUUAGUACUUGGAUGGGAGACCCCACACAUAGUAUGAGACCCACCACAAGAGCAACAAGAGGUAGUUA
This is a ribosomal RNA of Ursus americanus (American black bear), 133 nucleotides long. The record is from Ensembl. NCBI's taxonomy places the organism in Eukaryota, Metazoa, Chordata, Mammalia, Carnivora, Ursidae.